AUUGAACGCUGGCGGCAUGCUUUACACAUGCAAGUCGAACGGUAACAGGCCGCAAGGUGCUGACGAGUGGCGAACGGGUGAGUAAUGCAUCGGAACGUGCCCAGUCGUGGGGGAUAACGCAGCGAAAGCUGUGCUAAUACCGCAUACGAUCUAUGGAUGAAAGCGGGGGACCGUAAGGCCUCGCGCGAUUGGGGCCGCCGAUGUCAGAUUAGGUAGUUGGUGGGGUAAAGGCCCACCAAGCCAACGAUCUGUAGCUGGUCUGAGAGGACGACCAGCCACACUGGGACUGAGACACGGCCCAGACUCCUACGGGAGGCAGCAGUGGGGAAUUUUGGACAAUGGGCGCAAGCCUGAUCCAGCAAUGCCGCGUGCAGGAAGAAGGCCUUCGGGUUGUAAACUGCUUUUGUACGGAACGAAACGGUCUGGGUUAAUACCCUGGGCUAAUGACGGUACCGUAAGAAUAAGCACCGGCUAACUACGUGCCAGCCGCCGCGGUAA
RNAcentral lists this ribosomal RNA (498 nucleotides) under uncultured bacterium. RNAcentral's name for it is "partial 16S ribosomal RNA". It matches the Rfam family "Bacterial small subunit ribosomal RNA", at positions 30 to 523 of the family's 1533-position model. The record is from RNAcentral.